AUGCGGUUAGAAGAUGAAAGAUAUGAUGAUUCAGAACAAAAUAGUGAUUUCUAUAACUCACUAGAUGAUGUGGGACUACAUAAUUUAGACAAUGCAAUGGAAGCCAUGGAAGUAGAAAGUAGUGGUAAAAGAAGAAGGGGAUAUGGUGAGAGAAUCUGUAAAAGUUCUUUGGGAACAAUGGGUAGAAUCAUACCCUAG
This 198-nucleotide ribosomal RNA is filed under the name Triticum aestivum (bread wheat). RNAcentral describes it as "partial small subunit ribosomal RNA". Lineage: Eukaryota; Viridiplantae; Streptophyta; Magnoliopsida; Poales; Poaceae. The record is from RNAcentral.